CUGGCUCAGGACGAACGCUGGCGGCGUGCCUAAUACAUGCAAGUCGAACGAAGCUUUCUUUCACCGAAUGCUUGCAUUCACCGAAAGAAGCUUAGUGGCGAACGGGUGAGUAACACGUAGGCAACCUGCCCAAAAGAGGGGGAUAACACUUGGAAACAGGUGCUAAUACCGCAUAACCAUGAACACCGCAUGAUGUUCAU
RNAcentral lists this ribosomal RNA (200 nucleotides) under Ligilactobacillus ruminis DSM 20403 = NBRC 102161. RNAcentral describes it as "Lactobacillus ruminis DSM 20403 = NBRC 102161 16S rRNA. Bacterial SSU". It matches the Rfam family "Bacterial small subunit ribosomal RNA", at positions 19 to 200 of the family's 1533-position model. Lineage: Bacteria; Bacillati; Bacillota; Bacilli; Lactobacillales; Lactobacillaceae. The record is from RNAcentral.